GUGCAACAUUUUCUCCUCCAGGGUAUGGGGCAGAACCCCUUCUGAAAUGGUGGUUUCAUGACUUAUAAUCAGACAAGGCCUUCAAAAAAGUAUAUUCAACACUGCAAGUCCUAAAAGAAGAAAAGCUUAUGAUUUUCCUACUGAUUUCAGUAGUUCUCUACUUGGGGAUAAUUUCCCAAUUAUGACUCAUUGAGUUGAAAUCCAACAGAUCAUGGCAUCCCCUCUAAGAUGCCAAAGAACAAAAGAACAACAACAACAACAACAACAAAAAAAAAACCAGAGAACAGAAACCUGAAGAGAUAACAAAGAAAGGCCUGGGAUGGAGUUUCAUAUUGGAGUCCAUAUGGGACUAGCUGGGAGUCCAUGUCUAAGAGCUGAGCUGCUUGUCAUCAGGUUGUGAUUACCUGAGACUUACCAGAGAGCUGUUUCGACAAGGUUCAGAACAGAACACAGAGACUUGAAAUUAAACAGCACUGAUGCAAUUUGGAGAUUUGGCCUCAAUUAAGUCGAGAAAUGUUAUUAAUGCCUUAUUAACGCUUGAACAUCCAGCUAAGGUACCACAAAAGCCAUAGAAGUAAAGACCUACCUAGACUAAGGUUUAUUCAAGACCUGUUGAAACAAAGCCUACAACCAAACUCUGACAAGUUCUGCAUGAGAGUAUAGCCCUGAAGUUGUGUUUCAAGAAGCAGCCAAGAAAGACAUGACCACUAUAAGAAUGCUGUAUCAUAGGUGGGAUCCUGGAGUGGAAAAAGGUUAGAAACAAACAAAGAAAAUCUGAAUAAACUGUGGACUUUUAAAUUAAAAA
This 805-nucleotide long non-coding RNA is filed under the name Homo sapiens (human). RNAcentral's name for it is "HSALNT0306634". Lineage: Eukaryota; Metazoa; Chordata; Mammalia; Primates; Hominidae. The record is from RNAcentral.